CCCUUAGAUGUUCUGGGCCGCACGCGCGCUACACUGUUCGACGCAGCGAGUCUUAACCUUGACCGAAAGGUUUGGGUAAUCUUCAGCAAAGUCGAACGUGAUGGGGAUCGAUCAUUGCAAUUAUUGAUCGUGAACGAGGAAUUCCUAGUAAGUGCAAGUCAUCAGCUUGCGCUGAUUACGUCCCUGCCCUUUGUACACACCGCCCGUCGCUACUACCGAUUGAAUGGUUUAGUGAGGUCUCUGGAUUGACGCUGGCUAGGGGGCGACCCUUGGCCAGACUGUUGAGAAACUGCUCAAACUUGAUCAUUUAGAGGAAGUAAAAGUCGUAACA
This 331-nucleotide ribosomal RNA is filed under the name uncultured eukaryote. Its description in RNAcentral is "partial 18S ribosomal RNA". It matches the Rfam family "Eukaryotic small subunit ribosomal RNA", at positions 1470 to 1796 of the family's 1831-position model. The record is from RNAcentral.